GGAUUAGAUACCCUAGUAUAUAUACUAGAUUUAUAAUUAAUAUUUUUUUGAAAAUUAACAAUUUUGGCGGUUGAUUGUUUAUUUAGAGGAGCUUGUUAGUAUUAAGAAAUAACUCUUUAUAUUAAAUUAUGUUUGAGUCUAUUCAUCUCCGUUAGUAAGUAAAGCUUAAAUUAAGUUAAUUUAAUAUUUCAGGUCAAGAUGUAGCAAUAGAUAGAUAUAUAAUUAGCUACAAUUAAAAAUUAAUGGAUUUUAUUAUGAAUUUUAUUUCUAAGGAAAUUGAAUUUAAUUGUAAUAUUAAUUAAAAUUUUAUUAUGAAUAAUAAUACUUUUAAUGUAUAUAUUGCCCGUCACUUCUAUUAUGUUGGUAGAAUAAGUCGUAACAAAGUA
This 386-nucleotide ribosomal RNA is filed under the name Fonckia gallardoi. RNAcentral's name for it is "partial small subunit ribosomal RNA". The record is from RNAcentral. Lineage: Eukaryota; Metazoa; Arthropoda; Arachnida; Opiliones; Gonyleptidae.